AGUGAACGCUGGCGGUAGGCCUAACACAUGCAAGUCGAACGGCAGCACAGCGGAGCUUGCUCCUUGGGUGGCGAGUGGCGGACGGGUGAGGAAUACAUCGGAAUCUACUCUGUCGUGGGGGAUAACGUAGGGAAACUUACGCUCAUACCGCAUACGACCUACGGGUGAAAGCAGGGGACCUUCGGGCCUUGCGCGAUCGAAUGAGCCGAUGUCGGAUUAGCUAGUUGGCGGGGUAAAGGCCAACCAAGGAGACGGUCCGUAGACGGUCUGAGAGGAAGAUCAGCCACACUGGAACUGCGACAGGGUCGAGACUCCGACGGGAGGCAGCAGUGGGAAAUAUUGGACAAGGGGCGCAAGCCUGAUCCAGCCGUACCGCGUGGGUGAAUAAGGCCUUCGGGUUGUAAAGCCCUUUUGUUGGGAAAGAAAUCCAGCUGGCUAAUACCCGGUUGGGAUGACUGUACCCAAAGAAUAAGCGCCGGCUAACUUCGUGCCAGCAGCCGCCGUAA
RNAcentral lists this ribosomal RNA (506 nucleotides) under uncultured bacterium. Its description in RNAcentral is "partial 16S ribosomal RNA". It matches the Rfam family "Bacterial small subunit ribosomal RNA", at positions 29 to 523 of the family's 1533-position model. The record is from RNAcentral.